Molecule: ribosomal RNA, 497 nt
Filed under: uncultured bacterium
Lineage: Bacteria
Description: partial 16S ribosomal RNA
Rfam family: Bacterial small subunit ribosomal RNA
Source: RNAcentral
GAUGAACGCUGGCGGCGUGCCUAAUACAUGCAAGUCGAGCGAACGGACGAGAAGCUUGCUUCUCUGAUGUUAGCGGCGGACGGGUGAGUAACACGUGGAUAACCUACCUAUAAGACUGGGAUAACUUCGGGAAACCGGAGCUAAUACCGGGUAAUAUUUUGAACCGCAUGGUUCAAAAGUGAAAGACGGUCUUGCUGUCACUUAUAGAUGGAUCCGCGCUGCAUUAGCUAGUUGGUAAGGUAACGGCUUACCAAGGCAACGAUGCAUAGCCGACCUGAGAGGGUGAUCGGCCACACUGGAACUGAGCCACGGUCCAGACUCCUACGGGAGGCAGCAGUAGGGAAUCGUCCGCGAUGGGCGAAAGCCUGACGGAGCAACGCCGCGUGAGUGAUGAAGGUCUUCGGAUCGUAAAACUCUGUUAUUAGGGAAGAACAUAUGUGUAAGUAACUGUGCACAUCUUGACGGUACCUAAUCAGAAAGCCACGGCUAACUACGUG